RNAcentral lists this ribosomal RNA (253 nucleotides) under uncultured bacterium. RNAcentral's name for it is "partial 16S ribosomal RNA". It matches the Rfam family "Bacterial small subunit ribosomal RNA", at positions 524 to 776 of the family's 1533-position model. The record is from RNAcentral.
UACGGGGGGGGCAAGCGUUGUUCGGAAUUACUGGGCGUAAAGGGCUCGUAGGCGGCCAACUAAGUCAGACGUGAAAUCCCCAGGCUCAACCUGGGAACUGCGUCUGAUACUGGAUGGCUUGAAUUCGGGAGAGGGACGCAGAAUUCCAGGUGUAGCGGUGAAAUGCGUAGAUAUCUGGAGGAAUACCGGUGGCGAAGGCGGCAUCCUGGACCGACAUUGACGCUGAGGAGCGAAAGCUAGGGGAGCAAACGGG